Chenopodium quinoa (quinoa) is the source of this 1578-nucleotide long non-coding RNA. RefSeq lists it as uncharacterized. Lineage: Eukaryota; Viridiplantae; Streptophyta; Magnoliopsida; Caryophyllales; Amaranthaceae. The record is from RefSeq and is a predicted model, not a curated record. The transcript has 3 exons.
UUUGCUGAGUGUCUGCUUUGUGGGACACAAGAUGAGUCUCAUGUUCACUUGUUUUUUGGAUCCUAGUACAGCAGAAGAAUAUGGGAAGACAUUAGUAGCUGGAUUGGUAUUUCUGGUAGAGAUUACAGCUUACAGAAUGCUGCUAGAAGAACUAGAAAUUAUAAAACUACUUUCAAGCAAUGUCUACUUAGAGCUUGUAUUUUGGCAGUGGUGUAUUGGAUUUGGAAGGCUAGGAAUGUGGCUCUUUAGAGCUAAAAAAUUCUGUGUAUUCACACAAUUGUAAAAAAUAUCAAAGAAGAAGUUAGGAAUAGAAUGUUAAAUGUAAAUUCAAAGAAAAUACAUAGUGUAGAUAAGGAUUGGUUACAAGAGCAAAUUAUAUAGGCUUGUUCUUGUUUGUUUUUUCUUUCAAGCAAUUUGUUCUACCAGUUAGGUUGUUCCCGUUUUGGGACUAGUUUGUAAAUAUGAUUUUGAGCUAUAAAUUUUACUUACCACAAAAAAAAAAAAAAAAAAAAAAAAAAAAAAAAAAAAAAAAACCUCAUCUGUAGGCUGCCAAGAGACUCCUUAGAUAUCUUGCUGUCAGAAGAUCAUCUCAGGGUAUACUUUUAGCUUCUUCAUCUGCACCUCAACUAACUUCCUUUUGUGACAGUGAUUGGGAAAGUUAUCCAACUUCUCAAAGAUCAACAACUAGUUACUGUAUUUUACUUGGCAAGUCUCUAAUUUCGAUUCCUAGAAGCCAAGAAACAGAAAGUGGUUGCUAAAUCCUCUACUGAGGCAUAAUAUAGAGCUAUGGCUCUAACAGCUUGUGAGGUUACCUGACUUAAAUCUUUUCUCAAGGAUCUGGGUAUUACUUAUCUUGGUCCUACAUUACUCAACUGUGAUAAUCAAGCUGCAAUUGCUAUUGCAGCUAAUCCUGUACUGCAUUAAAGAACUAGGCACAUAGAAAUCGAUUGUCCCUAUGUUCAAGAUAUGGUAAAGUCUGGUGAACUUAUUCAAUCAUAUGUUUCUUCCAAGAAUCAACUUGCUAAUAUUCUGACUAAGGGUCUAUCUGUCAAGCAACAUCAAGAUAUUCUUCUCACGCUUGGUGCUAGUUCUUCCUCUUCUAGCACUCAGCUUGAAGGGGGGUAUUAAGGCAGGGGUAACUUAGGGGUUGUUUGGUAAGUAGUUUUUUGUAUAGAUUUUGGCUUUUAGCUUUUGAAAGUGGUCAAACAGCCAAAAUUUGUUGUUUGGUUAAUUGGGUUUUUGGUUGGUUAAAAAGCCAGCUUUAACGCCAAAAGCCAAAAGCCAAAAGCUAGUGAUAGUAGCUUUUUUGGAUUGACUUUUGGCUGAAAUGAUAACAAAUAAAAUUUUUUCCCUUUAUUACUUUAUCAUCUCAAUUUCCUUUCUCUCUCCUAAAACAAAAAAAAACCCACUAUACUACUACUAUACUACAGAGUGAAUUUGGGAGAAGUUGGGGUGAACGUAUCACCACUAGAGCAGCGGGAGCGGCGGUGCAUAGAUUUAUCAAGCUCUGGCAUCUGCUAUACGAAAAAGGUACGAGGCAUCCAACACUUGGUCAAGGAGGGAAGGGCGAUUAAUCAA